This is a long non-coding RNA of Oreochromis niloticus (Nile tilapia), 1829 nucleotides long. RefSeq annotates it as jupiter microtubule associated homolog 2. The transcript is spliced from 2 exons. The record is from RefSeq and is a predicted model, not a curated record. NCBI's taxonomy places the organism in Eukaryota, Metazoa, Chordata, Actinopteri, Cichliformes, Cichlidae.
AGGCCUGGAGUUGGCCACCCCUGGCCUGUUAGAUUAUUUUUGAUUAAAUUAUUAAAUACCCCCUUUUGAAUUUUUAGCAGUUAAUUUUUAACAAUCAACUGGUGGUAAUCCAUCGUCAGAACUGAUGAAUCGUGGUGUUGAUGGAGACUCUACAGGGGGAUACACUGGUUCCUCAAGCUCCUGAAGCCAAAGCCAGCCAGCCUGAGGCGAAAGAACAAACACCCCCAGCCGAUACACCAGCCAAGGAAGAGCCACCCGCUGCCACUGCCGUCUCGGCACCCUCGGAGCCUGAGCCCACGCCUUCCUCAUUUCCUGAUGACACUUCGCUGAAGAACCACGAGCCUCAUCUGGGACCCAAGCCUCGCACCCACAACAGGGUCCUCAACCCUCCUGGAGGAAAGUCUAGUGUGGUGUUCUACUGAUCUGCUGAGCGUGCCACCUCUCCCAGUUUGUGUCCAUUAACCUCUUUGUCUGCUCCCCUGUUAAUCUUCUCUCAUUCCUACACUGCUUUUUUGAUGGUCAUGUGAUCUGUACACCUAAAUGCAGCCCAGUUAUUGUUGUUGUUCACACCUGAUGCCUGGGCUCAUAAGUUGUCCUCAACAUCUUGCAUUUUCAUCCCCCGUUUCUGACUCCCUCCCGUCUGUCUUCUCCUUGAAAUUCUUCUAUAAUGAAACCUGCAUUCAUUACAAUCACCGAUGAGUCAGCUGAAUGGCUAGCUUAUCACUUUAACUGUAACACUGUUCAGUCUCAACUUUGCAGUUACCGUUUUCAUCAUUUAUGUUACAAGCAUUUGUAAGUGCAAUUUGUUUGGAGGCAGAAUCGUCUGAUUUUUGCGUGUGUGAGAACAUUAAACAUUAAACCGUUCUUGAGAUGCAGAAAUGUUCUGCAUCUCAAGAACGGUUUAGAGUUUGGACUACUUGCACAAUUUUCCGCUUUAAACUGAGCUGCAAUUUGGUUUGGCUAAAAACUUCACAGUAGACAUUUGCCCAAAUUUCUGGGAGCUUUCUGGGGUCAACACAGCUUCUCAUCAGUUUAAUAUAUGAAGUGCCAGAUCUUUAUUGCAUGUCCACUUAAUUUCAGAAUUUAAGAAACAAUCCAUCAGCUUGGCAUCCUUUCAUCUCUCUAGCCUUUUAGUUAAUUAUGCCUUACUAAAAACGUGUACAACAGAGAGCACAAUCUGUGAUUAGGAAUUGAAACAGCUGUUUACUCCCCAGAUGUUUCUGUGUCCUCAAAGAAAUUCCAUUUUGAUUUAUGUGAAUGUAUUGUGCAGGUACUUUCUCUGCUUUGCCCUCACUGCUUGCUUUAUCUGAGAACAUCUGCCUUCUUUUAGCUUCAGGUAGGCCUCAGUUUAUGUUUUAAAUUAAAAUGCUUGAAGACAAAGUGAACUCUGGACAAGCGUGCGGCCUACCUGAUGUCCAGGUGGGCUGGAUGAUAAUCACAUUUUCACACUCCUCUCGGGGCACAUCCGUGGUGUUCUGGUGCCAGCCUGUCCCCUCCGUUUUUUGUGGGGGUUUUUUGUUUGUUUUUUUUCCCCCCACAUACAAAAAUGGCCGCUUCUGCCUGGAGGGAGUUUUUUAUUUUUGCUUUGCAGCCACACAGGAUCUGUAUGGAAGUUUUAAACAUUUCUAUUUUAGGCAAUUUUAUUUUAUAAUAUUUUAGAUGACAGCACAUAAAACUGUGUGUGUGUGUGUGUGUGUGUAAAAACAGAUGUUCAGAGGUCUUGCUUCAUGGUAUCGAGCAGCCCACACAAAACAGGGUCUUUAUGUUUUAAUGUAAGUGCUGAUGUAAACCACAAUGUUCAGCAAACAUCUAUCAGGUCAUUGGACUUG